CACUCUAGAGAGACUGCCAGGGAUAACCUGGAGGAAGGUGGGGAUGACGUCAAAUCAUCAUGCCCCUUAUGCUUAGGGCUACACACGUGCUACAAUGGGUAGUACAGAGGGUUGCCAAGCCGUAAGGUGGAGCUAAUCCCUUAAAGCUACUCUCAGUUCGGAUUGUAGGCUGAAACUCGCCUACAUGAAGCUGGAGUUACUAGUAAUCGCAGAUCAGAAUGCUGCGGUGAAUGCGUUCCCGGGUCUUGUACACACCGCCCGUCACACCACGGGAGUUGGAGACGCCCGAAGCCGAUUAUCUAACCUUUUGGAAGAAGUCGUCGAAGGUGGAAU
Molecule: ribosomal RNA, 333 nt
Filed under: Clostridioides difficile
Lineage: Bacteria; Bacillati; Bacillota; Clostridia; Peptostreptococcales; Peptostreptococcaceae
Description: bacterial SSU rRNA
Rfam family: Bacterial small subunit ribosomal RNA
Source: RNAcentral